RNAcentral lists this ribosomal RNA (276 nucleotides) under Klebsiella aerogenes. RNAcentral's name for it is "partial 23S ribosomal RNA". It matches the Rfam family "Bacterial large subunit ribosomal RNA", at positions 589 to 867 of the family's 2925-position model. The record is from RNAcentral. RNAcentral also lists the same sequence under 5 other names. Lineage: Bacteria; Pseudomonadati; Pseudomonadota; Gammaproteobacteria; Enterobacterales; Enterobacteriaceae.
GGGUGUGACUGCGUACCUUUUGUAUAAUGGGUCAGCGACUUAUAUUCUGUAGCAAGGUUAACCGUAUAGGGGAGCCGCAGGGAAACCGAGUCUUAACUGGGCGUUAAGUUGCAGGGUAUAGACCCGAAACCCGGUGAUCUAGCCAUGGGCAGGUUGAAGGUUGGGUAACACUAACUGGAGGACCGAACCGACUAAUGUUGAAAAAUUAGCGGAUGACUUGUGGCUGGGGGUGAAAGGCCAAUCAAACCGGGAGAUAGCUGGUUCUCCCCGAAAGCU